AGCGAACGCUGGCGGCAGGCUUAACACAUGCAAGUCGAGCGCCCCGCAAGGGGAGCGGCAGACGGGAGAGUAACACGUGGGAACAUACCUUUUGGUUCGGAACAACUGAGGGAAACUUCAGCUAAUACCGGAUAAGCCCUUACGGGGAAAGAUUUAUCGCCGAAAGAUUGGCCCGCGUCUGAUUAGCUAGUUGGUGAGGUAACGGCUCACCAAGGCGACGAUCAGUAGCUGGUCUGAGAGGAUGAUCAGCCUCACUGGGACUGAGACACGGCCCAGACUCCUACGGGGGGCAGCAGUGGGGAAUAUUGGACAAUGGGGGCAACCCUGAUCCAGCCAUGCCGCGUGAGUGAUGAAGGCCUUAGGGUUGUAAAGCUCUUUUGCCCGGGAAGAUAAUGACGGUACCGGGAGAAUAAGCCCCGGCUAACUUCGUG
Molecule: ribosomal RNA, 431 nt
Filed under: uncultured bacterium
Lineage: Bacteria
Description: partial 16S ribosomal RNA
Rfam family: Bacterial small subunit ribosomal RNA
Source: RNAcentral